UACCGUCUUAUUAAGAAUUAGUACGCUAGUUUUUUGAAUUCCGUAUAUAUACAGUUUUUUUUAAACAAAUUAAAUCAAUUACAAGUGAUAAUCAUCGCUUCUGCUCGAUACACAAAUUAAAUGUUUUUAUUAAUAAAAUAUAUAUGAAUAAAAACCUGCAGCCAAACGCUAGUGAAAUAAAUAACACAUGAUAUAUUCCUCGAUAAACAUCACAUAAUUAUUAAAUAAGGUAAUAUCAAAUAAAUAUUAAUAAUUUUAGGUUCGCUAGUGCCACAUAAUCUUCUGAGCUUAGACUAGAACACAACUUCAAAGUAUAAUGCUCCAAAUAAAUACGUCCAAAUGGCUCCAUACUACUAUUUUACUAUUUGUAUUCGUUGCUGUAAAUUGUAGCGAAUGGAUAAUAGAACGGGUACAGCUGCAGGAAAUUAAUCAAAACUAUCUGAAGAAUACAUCUUUUGACUUAGUCUCUUACUCGAGAAGGAAACGUGUAAUAAACUUUUACACAGAAACCUUGGAAACAUUUGAUAACAACGUUACGGUCAGCAAUGAAUACGAAGAGUUUAUGAAUAACGAGUACAGGCCAGCUUUUGUUGGUCUUCGAUUCAAGCUUUGUGACUUCAUAGAAGCGCCGUAUGUAAUGAUUAAACAGAAGUUCGGAAUACAAUGUCCCAUACCACCGGUAAGAAUUAAAUACAAGUGAUUGAGAUUUGUAAAUCAUAGACAAAUAGUCUUCUGACCCUGACGCAUGCCGUCGCUUUUUGGCUCUGUGGCAGGCCGAUGAACAUGGUAUGGUAU
Molecule: long non-coding RNA, 795 nt
Organism: Pieris napi
Lineage: Eukaryota; Metazoa; Arthropoda; Insecta; Lepidoptera; Pieridae
Exons: 3
Source: RefSeq, a predicted model, not a curated record